Non-coding RNA from Fukomys damarensis (Damara mole-rat), 138 nucleotides. NCBI's taxonomy places the organism in Eukaryota, Metazoa, Chordata, Mammalia, Rodentia, Bathyergidae. The record is from Rfam.
GCCGGGCGUGGUGGUGCACGCCUGUAAUCCCAGCACUUGGGAGGCUGAGGCAGGAGGAUCGCUGUGAGUUUGAGACUAGCCUGGGCUACAUAGUGAGUUCUAGGUCAGUCUCAACUACAUAGUGAGACCCUGUCUCAA